Molecule: long non-coding RNA, 712 nt
Organism: Culex pipiens pallens (northern house mosquito)
Lineage: Eukaryota; Metazoa; Arthropoda; Insecta; Diptera; Culicidae
Exons: 2
Source: RefSeq, a predicted model, not a curated record
GUAGGUCACCCUAAUCAUAGAUUAUUAAUCAAGUAGAUGUCCCACUUGGAAGUUGCUCCAUAUACCUAGUUGGCGACACCCCUUUAGCGCUCUGCGCGCCGCCAUCGUCAAUUUACAGGUACUAAAUUGGAAAACAAAAUCAUAGUACUCUUUGCACUUGCCUGUAGAAAAAUUGUUUUGUUUUUGACAAAGUGUCACCAAGUUUGGUUCAACACGUCCUUUAAUAAAUUAUUUCUGUAAAUUACCUUUUUAAAUCCCAAAACACAUGAAAAGAUCGGCUACCAGGUGUGUACUCUAGCAGGGCAAGUAGCAGUGGCAGCAGCAGUAAAAAAUCCGACUAAAAUAAAAGAACCGGAAAGGGAGGAAAUGACUCUCUUCAAGCCGAACACGGCCAGUUCCCACUCAAUGCCGAAACCUCUGCGGGUUUGCACCACUCCCCCGGCCAGGUAAAAAAGACUCGAGUGGUGGCAACGAAGACAAAAAGAACUUUAUGUAAAACUUUUACCAAAAUGCAGCGCAAGAAUAGACAAAUAAAUCUAACGCUAAUCCCGCCAUUCAAGUGCAUAAGAUUUAAAGAGGCCACCUCCGACUUUUAAACUACCUGGCUGACAUUGAACCGCAAGAAUAAUCUUUUGCGUUGGGAAAAAUUCUGGAGCUGCUCCAAAAUCUAGACAAAUAAAAUUUAAUCAGCAUGUAGGUGUAUGAUAUCCUU